UACGGAGGGUGCAAGCGUUAAUCGGAAUCACUGGGCGUAAAGCGCACGUAGGCGGCUUGGUAAGUCAGGGGUGAAAUCCCACAGCCCAACUGUGGAACUGCCUUUGAUACUGGCGUCCUUGAGUGCGGUUGAGGUGUGCGGAAUUCGUGGUGUAGCGGUGGAAUGCGUAGAUAUCGGGAGGAACACCAGUGGCGAAGGCGGCCUACUGGGCACCAACUGACGCUGAGGCUCGAAAGUGUGGGUAGCAAACAGG
RNAcentral lists this ribosomal RNA (253 nucleotides) under Bilophila wadsworthia. RNAcentral's name for it is "partial 16S ribosomal RNA". It matches the Rfam family "Bacterial small subunit ribosomal RNA", at positions 524 to 776 of the family's 1533-position model. Lineage: Bacteria; Pseudomonadati; Thermodesulfobacteriota; Desulfovibrionia; Desulfovibrionales; Desulfovibrionaceae. The record is from RNAcentral.